RNAcentral lists this long non-coding RNA (947 nucleotides) under Nannospalax galili (Upper Galilee mountains blind mole rat). RNAcentral's name for it is "lncRNA (ENSNGAG00000024479.1)". The record is from RNAcentral. Lineage: Eukaryota; Metazoa; Chordata; Mammalia; Rodentia; Spalacidae.
AUGGCGGUUCCCAUGGACCAGGAGAGAGUCUUCCGUACAGCAAGGCCGCCUACAGAAUGCGAACCACGCCCCCUCCCGCCCAGCCACCGGAAGUUUCCUUUUGAAAGCGAGGCGGGCCCGCCAAUCCCCCUCGUGACGAUGACCAGUGUGGUAAAGACGGUGUGCUGCGCGCACGCCUCCCGGCCGAACGGCACCCAGCCAGCAGGUGGGUGUGCACAGCCGCCAGCCCGGGCUCUGGACUGGCCAGGGGUAUCAGCAGCCCGGACUGCGGGGAUCUGAAUCGGUGUUUGGAAAUGGGGCCCAAGGAAGGGCAUCCGGGGGCUCAGACAACUUGCUAGCCCUUCCGGAACCAGGCUGUAUAGGCUUAUAAUGAUAAAAUUUGGGAAAGAGCCCCUGUUCCUACCCAUUUCCACCUCUGUGAUCCCCCUAUGCUGCCAAGUGGAUCCAAAAACUUAAAAAAUAACAGGAUUUAAAGACAAAAACAAAACAGGAUUUCAUCAUGUAGUCCAGACUAGCCUUGAGCUCAUAGCAAUCUUAACCUCAGUUUCCCUCAUGGUAAGAUUUCUAGCUCUGUCACCACACUGGCUAGUAGACCAGGUUGACCUGGAUCUCUCAGAGAUCCACCUGCCUCUGUCUCCUGAGUGCUGGGAUUAAAAGUGUGUACCACCAUACCUGGCUAGAAAUGUCUUUUUAUGCUAUUAUCCUUUUUCUUUCCAGAUUAGGGUUGGUUGAAUCAUUUGAGAAGUGGAAUGCUUGGAGGAAAGCACUAGGAUUCCUUAGUCACACAAAUCUCUGCACAGUGGUUCUCCUGAGCAUAUUGUUGGUAAUUGUUGAGUGGAAGAGAAGGGCCAGGACUAGCAAAUUACUGAGAACUUUGAGAGACAAGAAGAGAAACCCCACUGAAAACAAUUUGUAAUUGCUUUACCAUCUUGCUUUGUGUUUAUUUU